UUUAAUUGCCACAAAAUAUUGUUAUUAGUUAUGUUGAAAGAUGACAUUGAAAAAUGUAGAUAUAUCUAUUGUAUGUAGUGGGUCUGGUUACUCACACAAACGGGAAAAGACGAGUUUUUACCGAACCAGCAUUAAUACCAAACAAUACUUCAUUACUCCUAAGAAGUAUCUACUACCGUUAGUAACCAGCAUUGUUUAUUCGCGUAUACACAAGUUAUAUGACCUGGACGUCGUCAUGUCCAAUCAUUCGCUAUUUACCGUUUUGCUCUUUUCGUUAUCAAUAUUUGUUUACAUUAAGUACUGUCUCUGUAUAUCAGUCUUAUCUAACGAACUACAUGAGUUCAGGUUCGAUAACGCUACCAGCUUGUUGUUCCAGUAUAUCUACGAUGCUUUUGUUUUACCUGGUUCCAAAAUUGUCAUCUAGUCACGACCACACGGUUCACAACGAUAUGAGCUUUUCUCACCAGCAGUUUUCCCAAUGAUGGUGUAUUUUUUGUUUUUGCGUUAUCAAAUUGGUUUUCCGUUACAUGUUAAAGUUACAAUCUACGUAAAAUCAAUGACCUAUUCGAACCGCAUUAAACAAAUUGUUUAUAACAGCAAAUAAAUAUGCUUGCUCGAUUGUUCUGAAAAGUGUCGCUGUUAGAAAGAAAAUUAAGUAUUAAUGUUACAUUUUAUACUUCUCCAGCAUAUCAAAUACACUGGGGUAUUUUGGCAAACAAAAGUUGAGUUCACAAUGAUAUGAGCUUUUCUCGCCAGCAGUUUUCACAAUGAUGGUGUAUUUUUUGUUUUUGCGUCAUCAGAUGGGUUUUCCGUUAUACGUUAAGUACAUCUACGUAAAAUCAAUGACCCCUUCGAAUCGCUUUAAACCAAUUAUUUAUAACGGCAAAUAAACAUAGUAAUUUAUGUAAAAUAUUUUUUAAAAAAAUUAUAUGUAUUUUCAAUGCCUAAACUAUACAUAAUAAUUUGUGAUAUUGAAUAAUAUUAAAAUGAAUAUUUGUAAUUAUUAAUUAGUUAAAACUUUGUACUUUUUUUAAAA
Daktulosphaira vitifoliae (grape phylloxera) is the source of this 1036-nucleotide long non-coding RNA. RefSeq lists it as uncharacterized. The record is from RefSeq and is a predicted model, not a curated record. The transcript is spliced from 4 exons. Lineage: Eukaryota; Metazoa; Arthropoda; Insecta; Hemiptera; Phylloxeridae.